Molecule: ribosomal RNA, 253 nt
Filed under: uncultured bacterium
Lineage: Bacteria
Description: partial 16S ribosomal RNA
Rfam family: Bacterial small subunit ribosomal RNA
Source: RNAcentral
UACGGGGGGGGCAAGCGUUGUUCGGAAUUACUGGGCGUAAAGGGCUCGUAGGCGGCCAACUAAGUCGGACGUGAAAUCCCCAGGCUCAACCUGGGAACUGCGUCCGAUACUGGAUGGCUUGAAUCCGGGAGAGGGAUGCAGAAUUCCAGGUAUAGCGGUGAAAUGCGUAGAUAUCUGGAGGAAUACCGGUGGCGAAGGCGGCAUCCUGGACCGGCAUUGACGCUGAGGAGCGAAAGCCAGGGGAGCAAACGGG